This 823-nucleotide long non-coding RNA is filed under the name Chrysolophus pictus (golden pheasant). RNAcentral describes it as "lncRNA (ENSCPIG00010003861.1)". The record is from RNAcentral. Lineage: Eukaryota; Metazoa; Chordata; Aves; Galliformes; Phasianidae.
GGCGUAGAAUGAAUGGAGAGUUUGCUGGGAGUCUGAGUCACUGAAGAAGGAAGCCUUGCUUCUGGAAACUUCUGUUCUUUUCAAAGUGUAUUUGUCUAAUGAAAACCGACCAACUUCCUACAGACUGCCCUACUUCUGCAGUUUGUCUGUGGUGUGAAGGGUAUGACUGUAGGCUGUUCUUCUGGCACUCUUCACCUACAAUUGUUAAUAUUUAGGUUUAUUCUGUGAGCAGAAAGGAAGACAACACUCCUGAUCCUCCUCCUCUUCAUAUACCAGCAAGAUUUCAGGGUGGCAAUCUUUGAUGAGAUUCUGAAACAUCAAACCAGGAAACGAUGGGAAUAAGCUGAUUUCUUCCUGAGAUAACACUGAGAGCAUCACUGCAUGUCUGAGGGAGAACAGAAAACGAGUGAGAAAGUCUGGACUGUGCUGUCGCACAGAGCAGCUGCCCCACCCCACAUCACACACUGUGCCCUUGCAGAGCCUUCCCCAUCCCGAGGUUUUUAAUUAUCCGGAUCUGUUUGAGCCCAGGCCCUGCCCUGUGCCCUGCGCUUAGCAGGGGGCCACCAGCUGUGCUGGAGCUGGCUGAUUCACAACAGCCUGUCCUAGUAAGAAUCUCACCAGCUGUGAGGUGGACUUGCAGAGGAGAUGAGAGUACAAAAGGAGUGAGGAGGACACCCUUCCAUGAAGCUUUUCCACACCUCUUGGGAUGAGAAGGAGCAAAGUGGUGGUGCUGCUGCGUCUGGGAGCGAUCAGUCUGCUAAAGGUGAGUGUCUUGUUGCUGUUAUGUGAGCUCCUUCAUCUGCACAGGGGGAGAGAUGCUGAU